This 28-nucleotide non-coding RNA is filed under the name Bombyx mori (domestic silkworm). Lineage: Eukaryota; Metazoa; Arthropoda; Insecta; Lepidoptera; Bombycidae. RNAcentral also lists the same sequence under 8 other names. The record is from RNAcentral.
GCAUCGGUGGUUCAGUGGUAGAAUGCUC